RNAcentral lists this ribosomal RNA (374 nucleotides) under uncultured organism. Its description in RNAcentral is "partial 16S ribosomal RNA". It matches the Rfam family "Bacterial small subunit ribosomal RNA", at positions 527 to 896 of the family's 1533-position model. The record is from RNAcentral.
GUAGGUGGCAAGCGUUGUCCGGAAUUAUUGGGCGUAAAGCGCGCGCAGGCGGUUCUUUAAGUCUGAUGUGAAAGCCCACGGCUCAACCGUGGAGGGUCAUUGGAAACUGGAGAACUUGAGUACAGAAGAGGAAAGCGGAAUUCCACGUGUAGCGGUGAAAUGCGUAGAGACGUGGAGGAACACCAGUGGCGAAGGCGGCUUUCUGGUCUGUAACUGACGCUGAGGCGCGAAAGCGUGGGGAGCAAACAGGGAUUAGAUACCCUGGUAGUCCACGCCGUAAACGAUGAGUGUUAAGUGUUAGGGGGUUUCCCGCCCCCUUAGUGCUGCAGCUAACGCAUUAAGCACUCCGCCUGGGGAGUACGGCCGCAAGGCUG